Molecule: ribosomal RNA, 860 nt
Filed under: Mononchus tunbridgensis
Lineage: Eukaryota; Metazoa; Nematoda; Enoplea; Mononchida; Mononchidae
Description: SSU rRNA
Rfam family: Eukaryotic small subunit ribosomal RNA
Source: RNAcentral
CGGCGUGAGAGGUGAAAUUCUUGGAUCGCAGCAAGACGGACAACUGCGAAAGCAUUUGCCAAGAAUGUUUUCAUUAAUCAAGGACGAUAGUUAGAGGUUCGAAGGCGAUCAGAUACCGCCCUAGUUCUAACCGUAAACGAUGCCAACUAGCGAUCUGUCGGUGUUAAAAUUUGACUCGACAGGCAGCUUCCGGGAAACCAAAGUUUUCUGGUUCCGGGGGAAGUAUGGUUGCAAAGCUUAAACUUAAAGGAAUUGACGGAAGGGCACCACCAGGAGUGGAGCCUGCGGCUUAAUUUGACUCAACACGGGGAAACUCACCCGGCCAGGACACGAUAAGGAUUGACAGAUUGAUAGCUCUUUCUUGAUUUUGUGGGUGGUGGUGCAUGGCCGUUCUUAGUUGGUGGAGCGAUUUGUCUGGUUAAUUCCGAUAACGAACGAGACUCUAGCCUAUUAAAUAGACGAUAUGUUUCUAGCAUAGCGAGCUUCUUAGAGGGACAAGCAGCUUCUUAGCUGCACGAGAUUGAGCAAUAACAGGUCUGUGAUGCCCUUAGAUGUCCGGGGCUGCACGCGCGCUACAAUGAAGGUAGCAAUGCGCUUAUUAACCGUUUCUGGUAAGAAUUGGUAAACGCGAAAUAUUUUCGUGCUUGGGAUAGGGGAUUGAAAUUAUUGCCCUUAAACGAGGAAUUCCCAGUAAGUUCGAGUCAUCAGCUUGAGCUGAUUACGUCCCUGCCCUUUGUACACACCGCCCGUCGCUACUACCGAUUGGAAGAUUUAGUGAAUUCUUGGGACCGAAGUUGAAGGCGUGUAAAAGCGCUUUCGAUAUUUGGAAACAUGAAUAAACCAAACCUUCUAGAGGAAGU